UACGAACUGUGCAAACGUUAUUCGGAAUCACUGGGCUUAAAGGGUGCGUAGGCGGCUCGUUAGGUAGGGUGUGAAAGCCCCCGGCUCAACCGGGGAAUUGCGCCCUAAACCGGCGGGCUGGAGUGAGAUAGGGGUGUGUGGAACUUCCAGUGGAGCGGUGAAAUGUGUUGAUAUUGGAAGGAACGCCGGUGGCGAAAGCGACACACUGGGUCUCAACUGACGCUGAGGCACGAAAGCCAGGGGAGCAAACGGG
Molecule: ribosomal RNA, 253 nt
Filed under: uncultured bacterium
Lineage: Bacteria
Also listed under: 1 other name
Description: partial 16S ribosomal RNA
Rfam family: Bacterial small subunit ribosomal RNA
Source: RNAcentral